UGCAAGUCGAACGGUAACAGGAAGAAGCUUGCUUCUUUGCUGACGAGUGGCGGACGGGUGAGUAAUGUCUGGGAACUGCCUGAUGGAGGGGGAUAACUACUGGAAACGGUAGCUAAUACCGCAUAACGUCGCAAGACCAAAGAGGGGGACCUUCGGGCCUCUUGCCAUCGGAUGUGCCCAGAUGGGAUUAGCUAGUAGGUGGGGUAACGGCUCACCUAGGCGACGAUCCCUAGCUGGUCUGAGAGGAUGACCAGCCACACUGGAACUGAGACACGGUCCAGACUCCUACGGGAGGCAGCAGUGGGGAAUAUUGCACAAUGGGCGCAAGCCUGAUGCAGCCAUGCCGCGUGUAUGAAGAAGGCCUUCGGGUUGUAAAGUACUUUCAGCGGGGAGGAAGGGAGUAAAGUUAAUACCUUUGCUCAUUGACGUUACCCGCAGAAGAAGCACCGGCUAACUCCGUG
This 461-nucleotide ribosomal RNA is filed under the name uncultured bacterium. RNAcentral describes it as "bacterial SSU rRNA". It matches the Rfam family "Bacterial small subunit ribosomal RNA", at positions 56 to 507 of the family's 1533-position model. The record is from RNAcentral.